RNAcentral lists this long non-coding RNA (722 nucleotides) under Mus spretus (western wild mouse). RNAcentral describes it as "predicted gene 28180 (ENSMSPG00010043188.1)". Lineage: Eukaryota; Metazoa; Chordata; Mammalia; Rodentia; Muridae. The record is from RNAcentral.
GCAGGGGAAGACACCAUUCUCUCUACCACAGUUUUGCCCCCCUACUUUGUCUCCUACCGUAUCCAAAGCUUGCAAAUAUUUCAAGUCUACAAUAAAAGCUUAUUUAAAAAGUAAAUACCAUAAAGUGUUAGCAAGCACAUUAUGUAUACCCCUGGCCUACUGUAGUAGAAGGUAGUUCUUGAAAAGGGAACACAAAACACAAGAAUAACCUAUGAUAGUACUGCAGGACUGGGGGCCAUCAGCAAAGAACACACUUUUUAGGAAGCUCUGUUGCUCUCCAAAUCAUAAUUCUGACCCCACAUCUAUGGAAAUGGCUCUGACACGGACAAAGGAUCUAACAUCUUUCUGGGCUACAAGAUCACCUCUGCUUCAGGCUGGAAUGCUCUUCUCCAGAGAAUCCAGGAACUGACAUAUGUAAACACCCACCCAGAAGGACAUAUCCAAGAGGGAAUGGAAAGAAAAAUGAUGGUCCAGAUGUUCUGUAACUUGCAAUGACUGCCAAAUCACCGUGGACCCAAAGCACCUGGGAGGCCAGGCUGUGUCAGGCCUUACUUCCUGGUUUCAGACAGCCAGGGUCCUGUGGCUAGGUGGUGACUGUGACAGCCUGCAGACUAGAUGGGAGAGAACCCGUUAGAAGGGCACCAGCUGACAGGACUUGGGGGCUGAACACACAGAGCUUGAUUUAUCACUUCCUUACUCAUAAAAAUGUGAUUCAAAGUGCU